AGAAGCCAUGCAAAGAAAAUUUUUUGAGAUGGACCUUAACUUACAUACUUAAAGAACAUUAAACUUACAAUUUAUUCAUGGAAUCAUAUCACUAAUUGCAACUAUUUUAUCGUAAUAGGAAUGAAAACUUUGCUUAAUGUUAGGAAAGUAGCAUGUGAUGAACCUGAAGACGAUGAUAUUGUUCGCGAUUCCAAAUUUAAGUUGCCGUUAAACAAUAUUGCGGAAUUAGAAAGGUUGGAUAAUUUAUUGAAAAUGGACCGUAAAGUCGUAAGAAAAUUGAGCUAGAACUUGCAUUUUGUGGCAAGGAAGGGAACUUCAACAAAACUGUGAGCAACACUUUGAAACACGUAAUUGGCCCUGAUUUAUGGUCGUUUUACACAUUUUGUGGGAUAGAAAGCAAAGCUGGCGAAACCGUUGUUCGCAAGUUCAAAGGCCUUGACGUCUAUCAAUGCAUCGAAAAUGCGAUCCGCAAUAGAUUUCCAAAUGAGACCGUGACUGCUAUACAUGGGAAAUGUAUUGAAGUUUUCACCAAAACAAGGAAUCAGAUGAAGAAAGCCGCCAACAAAUAAACAAUUUAAUAAUUUAUUUUAAAUUGUUUAGUUAUUGUAUU
Molecule: long non-coding RNA, 610 nt
Organism: Daphnia pulicaria
Lineage: Eukaryota; Metazoa; Arthropoda; Branchiopoda; Diplostraca; Daphniidae
Exons: 3
Source: RefSeq, a predicted model, not a curated record